GCACUUGGAAUAGCUCAGUUGGUAGAGCAUGAGACUCUUAAUCCAAGGGUUGUGGGUUUGAGUCUCAUGUUGGGCA
Non-coding RNA from Podarcis lilfordi (Lilford's wall lizard), 76 nucleotides. Lineage: Eukaryota; Metazoa; Chordata; Lepidosauria; Squamata; Lacertidae. The record is from the annotation of a GenBank genome assembly.